This 509-nucleotide long non-coding RNA is filed under the name Homo sapiens (human). RNAcentral describes it as "non-protein coding lnc-CELF4-16:1". The record is from RNAcentral. Lineage: Eukaryota; Metazoa; Chordata; Mammalia; Primates; Hominidae.
CUUCAUCCGGAAAACCCCACAAAAUUAUGCAAAUCAAGAAGUUCAAAUCUUCAUGUUCACUUUAAGAACAUUCUUGAAACUGCCCAGGACAUCAAGGUUAUGCUUACAUGAAAAGCCACCAAGUAUCUGAAAGAUGUUUACAAUCAUGGAGUUGGGAGGUGUGCCCAGGCCAAGCAGUGGGGCUGGACACAUGGUCGGUGGCCCAAAAAGAUUGCUGAAUUUUAGAUGCACAUGCUUAAAUCAUGCAGAGAGUAAUGCUAAACUUGAGUUUCAAUGUAUUAUAGAUUCUCUGAUCAUUGAGCAUAUCCAGGUGAAUAAAGCACCUAAGAUGCUCUGCCAGACUUACAGAUCUCAUGGUUGGAUUAACCCAUACAUGAGCUCACCCUACCACAUCUUGAUUAUCUUUACUGAAAAGGAACAAAUUGUUCUUAAACCGGAAGAGGAGAUUUCACAAAGGAAAAUACACCCUAGAAGAAAUUGAAGAAACAAAACUUAUGGAAUGGGAAUAA